AUUGAACGCUGGCGGCAUGCCUUACACAUGCAAGUCGAACGGCAGCAUGGAGAGCUUGCUCUCUGAUGGCGAGUGGCGAACGGGUGAGUAAUGCAUCGGAACGUACCGUGUAAUGGGGGAUAACGUAGCGAAAGUUACGCUAAUACCGCAUACGACCUGAGGGUGAAAGCAGGGGAUCGCAAGACCUUGCGUUAUACGAGCGGCCGAUGUCAGAUUAGCUAGUUGGUGAGGUAAAGGCUCACCAAGGCGACGAUCUGUAGCGGGUCUGAGAGGAUGAUCCGCCACCCUGGGACUGAGACGCGGCCCAGACUCCUACGGGAGGCAGCAGUGGGGAAUUUUGGACAAUGGGGGCAACCCUGAUCCAGCCAUGCCGCGUGAGUGAAGAAGGCCUUCGGGUUGUAAAGCUCUUUCGGCCGGGAAGAAAUCGCACAGGCUAAUACUCUGUGUGGAUGACGGUACCGGCAUAAGAAGCACCGGCUAACUACGUGCCAGCCGCCGCAGUAA
This 504-nucleotide ribosomal RNA is filed under the name uncultured bacterium. Its description in RNAcentral is "partial 16S ribosomal RNA". It matches the Rfam family "Bacterial small subunit ribosomal RNA", at positions 30 to 523 of the family's 1533-position model. The record is from RNAcentral.